GAUGAACGCUGGCGGCGUGCCUAAUACAUGCCAGUCGAGCGAACGGACGAGAAGCUUGCUUCUCUGAUGUUAGCGGCGGACGGGUGAGUAACACGUGGAUAACCUACCUAUAAGACUGGGAUAACUUCGGGAAACCGGAGCUAAUACCGGAUGAUAUUUUGAACCGCAUGGUUCAAAAGUGAAAGACGGUCUUGCUGUCACUUAUAGAUGGAUCCGCGCUGCAUUAGCUAGUUGGUAAGGUAACGGCUUACCAAGGCAACGAUGCAUAGCCGACCUGAGAGGGUGAUCGGCCACACUGGAACUGAGACACGGUCCAGACUCCUACGGGAGGCAGCAGUAGGGAAUCUUCCGCAAUGGGCGAAAGCCUGACGGAGCAACGCCGCGUGAGUGAUGAAGGUCUUCGGAUCGUAAAACUCUGCUAUUAGGGAAGAACAUAUGUGUAAGUAACUGUGCACAUCUUGACGGUACCUAAUCAGAAAGCCACGGCUAACUACGUG
Molecule: ribosomal RNA, 497 nt
Filed under: uncultured bacterium
Lineage: Bacteria
Description: partial 16S ribosomal RNA
Rfam family: Bacterial small subunit ribosomal RNA
Source: RNAcentral